Molecule: ribosomal RNA, 497 nt
Filed under: uncultured bacterium
Lineage: Bacteria
Description: partial 16S ribosomal RNA
Rfam family: Bacterial small subunit ribosomal RNA
Source: RNAcentral
GAUGAACGCUGGCGGCGUGCCUAAUACAUGCAAGUCGAGCGAACAGACGAGGAGCUUGCUCCUCUGACGUUAGCGGCGGACGGGUGAGUAACACGUGGAUAACCUACCUAUAAGACUGGUAUAACUUCGGGAAACCGGAUCUAAUACCGGAUAAUAUAUUGAACCGCAUGGUUCAAUAGUGAAAGACGGUUUUGCUGUCACUUAUAGAUGGAUCCGCGCCGCAUUAGAUAGUUGGUAAGGUAACGGCUUACCAAGGCAACGAUGCGUAGCCGACCUGAGAGGGUGAUAGGCCACACUGGAACUGAGACACGGUCCAGACUACUACGGGAGGCAGCAGUAGGGAAUCUUCCGCAAUGGGCGAAAGCAUGACGGAGCAACGCCGCGUGAGUGAUGAAGGUCUUCGGAUCGUAAAACUCUGUUAUUAGGGAAGAACAAAUGUGUAAGUAACUAUGCACGUCUUGACGGUACCUAAUCAGAAAGCCACGGCUAACUACGUG